Molecule: ribosomal RNA, 253 nt
Filed under: uncultured bacterium
Lineage: Bacteria
Description: partial 16S ribosomal RNA
Rfam family: Bacterial small subunit ribosomal RNA
Source: RNAcentral
UACGUAGGGGGCAAGCGUUAUCCGGAUUUACUGGGUGUAAAGGGAGCGUAGACGGCAUUGCAAGUCCGGAGUGAAAGCCCACGGCCCAACCGUGGGACUGCUCUGGAAACUGUAGAGCUGGAGUGCGGGAGGGGCAGGCGGAAUUCCUAGUGUAGCGGUGAAAUGCGUAGAUAUUAGGAGGAACACCAGUGGCGAAGGCGGCUUACUGGACUGUAACUGACGUUGAGGCUCGAAAGCGUGGGGAGCAAACAGG